GGACGGGGACAGGGACAAGGUGGGGACAGGGAAAGGGAUGGGGACAGGGACAGGGAUGGGAUGGCACAGGGUGGAAAUGGGGACCAGGACAGUGAUGGGGACAGGGAAGGGGAUGGGGCCGUCACUCACCCCUUGGCCUCAGCCACCUCCGGGGAGCUGGGGGCUGCCGAGAGCCCCCCCAUUUCUUCCAGCCUGGGUGGGACACGGGGGGGGAGGGUCAGAGCUACGGGGCCCCCGCCACACGCGGUGUCACCGUGCCGUGUCCCCAAACACACACGGUGUCCCCAAGCCCCCUCUGCAGUGUCCCCAAGCCCCCAAGCAACGUCCCCGAGACCCCAUGCAACGUCCCCAAGCACCCACGAAAUGUCCCCAAGACCCCCCACAAAGCCCCCAGCCCCCCACAACGUCCCCAAGCCCCCAGGCGAUGUCCCCGCGCCCCCACCUGGCGAGCAGCAGGCGCAGGACGUCGUGGGGCUGGGUGAAGGCACGGAAGGUGGCGAGGAAGGUGGGGACGAAGGCUCCGUCCCCGCGGGCCGGGGCCUCCAGCAGGUGCCGCACCAGGCGGGGCAGGGGGGCGGCGCGCAGCAGGCGGGCGGGGGGCGCCCCGGGCCGGGGGGCCAGGGAGAAGACGGCGUCAUCCUCCCGCACCUCCGCCUGCGACGGCACCCGCGCCGCAGGGCAGGGUCACCGGGUGGCACCAUGUGGUACCAUCGCCCCGUGGCACCGGCAUCCCAAUGGCACCCACUGCCCCCCAGUGGCACCCAACACCCCUAAAUGGCACCCAACGCCCAACGGCACCCAUCCCCACCCAACUGCACCCACUGCCCCCCAACGGCACCCAACAGCACCCAUUGCCCCCCCAGCUGAAGUCAUUGACCCCCAAUGGCACCCAUUGCUCCCCAAUGGCACCCAACACCCAAUGGCACCCAUCACCACCCAACUGCACCCACUGCCCCCCAAUGGCACCCAACGCCCCCCAAUAGCACCCAACGCCCCCAAAUGGUACCCAGCACCCAAUGGCACUCAACAGCACCCAACUGCACCCGCUGCCCCCAAAACGUUCCCAUUGCCCCCCAACUGCACCCAUCACUCCCCGGUGGCACCCAACACCCCCAGUGGCACCCAAUGGCACCCAUCACCCCCUAACUGAACCCAUCACCCCCCAACUGCACCCACUGCCCCCCAAAUGCACCAGUUGCCCCCCCAGUGCUACCCAUUGCCCUGCAAUGGCACCCAACACCCAACAGUACCCCUUGCUCCCCAGUGGCACCCAACAGCACCCAUUGCCCCUAAUGGCACCCACCUGAACCCAGUGCCCCCCAACAGCACCCAUUGCCCCCCAGUAUCACCCAACAGCACCCAUUGCCCCUAAUGGCACCCAACUGAACCCAUUGCCCCCCAGUGGCACCCUAAAGCACCCAUUGCCCCUAACAGCACCCAGCUGAACCC
RNAcentral lists this long non-coding RNA (1449 nucleotides) under Anser cygnoides (Swan goose). RNAcentral's name for it is "lncRNA (ENSACDG00005015340.1)". Lineage: Eukaryota; Metazoa; Chordata; Aves; Anseriformes; Anatidae. The record is from RNAcentral.